GAAAUUUCUACUUGCACCUCCAGCAGCAACGACAGAUUUGUUAUCACUUGGGACUCUAAAAACAUAAAAGUCACAUCUGAAUAGAUCCGUUGCAUGCUUUUGAUGUAAGAUCAGCAGCAGGAAAAAUGCUGCUGCAGCAGUUUGACGGUGCGCGUGUGAGCUGUCUUCUCGCCACGGCCGUCAUGCCAGGUCAGGUUGCUGCCCCCGGACCGACGUGGCAGUUGGUAGCUCAGCUCUUCAGCCGACAACGUGUGCUCCAGGGAGGCGCGGCAAAAGCUGAAGCUGGACGCCGCUGAGAGGAGAUAGAAGUAGAGAGAGCUGGCAGGUCUUUUGGGUCGUCGGGACAAACCCGUGUAAUUACUGCCAGUCAGACUGAGAUGGAAGAAACAGGAGAGGGAACGUGUGGAGCUAAAGCGCCCUGCAAGCCUAAAAGCCUGCCAAUCGAAGAGAAAAAGACAAAAGAACGAGACAAAGCAAGAGAGACAAGAGUGCUAGAUGAGCAUCAUUUCAUCUCCGCUCCACUGAUGUCUCAUUCGCUGCCCUUUCACCAGACCUUGUGAGCUCCAGAAGUCAUAAAACGAAGAUAAAGCACUCGCGCCGCAGACUAUCAUAGACUUGUUCUUAAUCUCGUAGAAGAGGUUACAGACAAUUUAAAGAAAAAUUCAUCGCUGAGUAAUAACAGCGAGAAAAAAAAUAUUCUGAUUGUUAAACUAUACUCCAUCAAAUCAUGUAGUUAGGCAUAUCAUUUCUAAUAAACCAACCAAUGUCCCAACUUUGAGUCAAGGCGUUUGGAAACACUAAGAAUGCAUAGUUACUAAAAAGAUUUAUUUGAGCAAAAAUCUCUUUGCCCAAAAGUUUUUGAAGAAAAGGGGUUGGAAAUAUCGACCUGCAACAAACUCUGCAAACAUCGUGGGCCAGCUAGGUGGACCGGGGCCAAAUCUGGCACCUGGUCCUGUCGCUUGGCCAGGACUACAAUGGAAGGAAGGAACUGCCAGUCAUAUCUCAGAGGUGAUUAGCAUCUUCACUGGUCAGCAUCACGAGUCAUCUGUCACCUUUCUGUCUCAACGCUCAGUACUUGAUUAGCUUGGACAACUGCCAAAUAUACUUUGUCCUAUUUGUCGCUAACUGAUGUUGAAUUAUUUUCCCCUACCCUUGACAAGAAGCCUUUAACAACUUCCCAAAGGAA
Syngnathus typhle (broad-nosed pipefish) is the source of this 1186-nucleotide long non-coding RNA. RefSeq lists it as uncharacterized. Lineage: Eukaryota; Metazoa; Chordata; Actinopteri; Syngnathiformes; Syngnathidae. The transcript has 3 exons. The record is from RefSeq and is a predicted model, not a curated record.